GGAGGAGCUGAACACCUAUUCAUAAGUCCAUUGUUGAUAGAGGAAAUAAUAGAUAAAGCAUCACCUUCGAACCAAACAUAUAAGUUUGCAACUGAUUUACGGCAAUCCUUAAAUCCAUCAAAAUAGCAAAGAGUUCGGCGUAAUAGACAGGAGUGGAGGAUAGAAGUUUUCUCCCUACAUAAAUGAGAGAACCCUGAGCAUCACAGAUUACAAACCCCACUGCUGCUUUAUUAACCUUCACUGCAGCAUCAAAAUUGACCUUCAACGUGCCUUA
Molecule: long non-coding RNA, 274 nt
Filed under: Elaeis guineensis (African oil palm)
Lineage: Eukaryota; Viridiplantae; Streptophyta; Magnoliopsida; Arecales; Arecaceae
Description: long non-coding RNA (EGUI_LNC005817)
Source: RNAcentral